AUUGAACGCUGGCGGCAGGCCUAACACAUGCAAGUCGAGCGGAUGAAGGGAGCUUGCUCCUGGAUUCAGCGGCGGACGGGUGAGUAAUGCCUAGGAAUCUGCCUGGUAGUGGGGGAUAACGUCCGGAAACGGGCGCUAAUACCGCAUACGUCCUGAGGGAGAAAGUGGGGGAUCUUCGGACCUCACGCUAUCAGAUGAGCCUAGGUCGGAUUAGCUAGUUGGUGGGGUAAAGGCCUACCAAGGCGACAAUCCGUAACUGGUCUGAGAGGAUGAUCAGUCACACUGGAACUGAGACACGGUCCAGACCCCUACGGGAGGCAGCAGUGGGGAAUAUUGGACAAUGGGCGAAAGCCUGAUCCAGCCAUGCCGCGUGUGUGAAGAAGGUCUUCGGAUUGUAAAGCACUUUAAGUUGGGAGGAAGGGCAGUAAGUUAAUACCUUGCUGUUUUGACGUUACCAACAGAAUAAGCACCGGCUAACUUCGUG
Molecule: ribosomal RNA, 484 nt
Filed under: uncultured bacterium
Lineage: Bacteria
Description: partial 16S ribosomal RNA
Rfam family: Bacterial small subunit ribosomal RNA
Source: RNAcentral